This 30-nucleotide non-coding RNA is filed under the name Rattus norvegicus (Norway rat). Lineage: Eukaryota; Metazoa; Chordata; Mammalia; Rodentia; Muridae. The record is from RNAcentral.
UAAAGGCCAAAGAGAUGACCCUGCUGACAA